GGCCUGAGAGGGUGAUCCCCCACACUGGUACUGAGACACGGACCAGACUCCUACGGGAGGCAGCAGUGAGGAAUAUUGGACAAUGGGUGAGAGCCUGAUCCAGCCAUCCCGCGUGAAGGACGACGGCCCUAUGGGUUGUAAACUUCUUUUGUAUAGGGAUAAACCUACCCUCGUGAGGGUAGCUGAAGGUACUAUACGAAUAAGCACCGGCUAACUCCGUGCCAGCAGCCGCGGUAAUACGGAGGGUGCAAGCGUUAUCCGGAUUUAUUGGGUUUAAAGGGUCCGUAGGCUGAUGUGUAAGUCAGUGGUGAAAUCUCACAGCUUAACUGUGAAACUGCCAUUGAUACUGCAUGU
Molecule: ribosomal RNA, 354 nt
Filed under: bacterium LimC-100-A-318
Lineage: Bacteria
Description: bacterial SSU rRNA
Rfam family: Bacterial small subunit ribosomal RNA
Source: RNAcentral